UUUUUAUAUUAUAUAUUUACUUAUUGUUUAUUUAACUAUACAUUUUCAAAUAUAUGUUUAAUUCAGUUUUUUAUUUUUAUAUUGUAUGUUUACUUACUGUUUAUCUUUUUUAUUUUUUAUUUAUUUAUUUUAAAUUUCUUACUACGUACGGGCACAAAAAUUAAUAUGCAUAUCUUAUGAUACUCUAAUAUAUACAAUAAUAUUGGUCGAAGAUCCAAUGAGGUAACUAAUCAGAUCCUCAAAAAAGUUUCCUACCUGAUAUACUGUUGUUAUAAUCUGAUCCAGUAAAAUGAUGUGGAUUCUCUAGUCUAGUGUUGUGUGAGAAGAAUUCACUCACUUGUACGCACAUCGUUUUAUCUUUUUGUUUUUGUUUUUAUUGGCUCUUCAUAUUUUGCAUAAUACUUGUGUUUAUGGUCCACUAAUCACGUGUUCACUCUAUUUCUAUACAUAAGCAUCACCAAAACAUGCAAAACUUCUAAAAAUUAGAACUUUUUGUUUGAAGAAUAUGCCUUUCUAAAGAUAAGCCAUAAAACUAAUUUUAAAUAGCUAAUUCUUUAUAUAGAGAGAAUGUACUUAUUUUUACCUCAUUUGCAAAUAUUAUACUAUGGUUUCUCUGUCUUUUUGAAGAAUUAAACUCUGAAAAAAAACAGAAUACUCAAGUUACAUCUUCUAUCUGAAUCAUGUUAAACAAGUCAAAUGAUAUUAAUUUGAACAGAAUAGAAAAAGAAUAUGAAUAGAAUAGUCAAAGACGUAUACUGAUUUUUGUUUAUAUACAGAAAAGUUGAGAAAAUUGAAUAUGAAACGAUGGAGAAAAAGAGAAAAAAAAAACAGUUAUGGAAAAUUAUAUAGUAGAAGAUGAAACAGGUUGAAGUCAUAUCAUGAUUUGAGAAGUUAUAUAUGACGUGAAACAGAUUCGUAGAUCAGAAGUUAUGUAGGAAAAAAAAUAUUUGAAGUGGUGAAAACUAAUUUUGAACGUGGGAUGAGAUCCUUUGAGAAAAUAUAGGAGUUUAGAUAUAUUUGAAGUUGCAAAUUUUGGAAAGGGGAAAUUUUACUUUUACACUUUGUUGAAUACCACUUUUCAAUUUUACCAUUAGUCUAAGGAUAUUUUCAGAAAUACCACUUUCAUUAAUGAGCAAAAGGCAAUAAUACCCUUACCUUAUCUUCUUCUCCACCAUCGGUUUCUCUCCUUCUCCUCGAGUCACCAUCGUCUCUCUCUCACCGUCGUCUCUCUCUCUCACCAUCGAUUUCCGGCGUCUCUCUCACCAUCUAGUUUCGGCGUCUCUCUCACCGUCUAGUUCCGUCGACUUUCUCUUACCGUCGACUUCUGGCGAUGAAAUCGAUUCAAAAUCUACAAGAUGUCAACUCCUAUACGUGAUUCACAACUUGUAUUUCUCUAAUUUUUGUAUUUUUGUUUGAUUCGAUUUUGUGCUUUCUCUUAUCGAACAAUCAAACAAAGUUCUCUUAGAUAUCACAUUUAAAGAUGUCGAUCUAAGAGAAACAUAUUCGAUAGUGAAACAUUGAGAAUGAAAACAUUGAGUAUUUGAAAACUUAAAUCUGGUUUUGAAGUCAUAUUAAGAUUGAUCUGAAUGGUUCCGGCUAAGAAAGAGAUUUUCCGAUAGUGAAAACUGCAUAUUAAAGAAGAGAUAAUUUCCGUUAGUGAAAACUGAAUAUUAAGGAAUUAUAACCCCCUAUAAAUCUGGGUUUCAUGAGAUUAUUGAUAAAUACAAGUCAAUGAUUUAUAAAGAAUUAUAACCCCUUAUAAAUCUGGGUUUCUGCCAGGAAACCUCUUCUGCAGAUCCGUUAUGUCUACGUAGGGACUCAACAAGGGCUCCGACAAUUACUGAAGUGUUGGAGGUGGAGAAGAAAAAUAAUGGUGUGGUUACUACAAUGUUUGGAUUCUCUGAGGAAUUCAAACAUUUGGUGAACCCAACACAUCCUGAUGAUAAGGACUUUGACAGUGUUGUACAACUAGUUCAACAAGGAUACAAAGUGAAGAAAAGCGAUUGGGAAGAAGGAUUUGUGGAUGUUUUCUUACAACAGAAGACGUUGGUCGACAAAGCAGGACAGAAAACAAAGAUGUACAGCAUAACCUCUAAGGUCAUUGUGUUUUUGAUGUUUUAUAAGACUUUAUCAAAUUUGAAAUCGCUAAGUUAUUUUAAUAUUAUAAGCAUUUAUAAAUCUCUUAUUUUUGUUUGAAAUAGGAGCAAACACAAGAUGAAGAAGAACAACAAGUGGAAGCUGGUGCUGAAUUCGGCGACGGUGAUAAAGAAAGAGAAACAUCAAAAAUCAAUGAAGUAAGCUAAUAUAUAAACCCUUAUAAAUUUGGACUAUCAUUUUAAAAAAAUUAUAAGCCAUCCUAAAUUUGUUAUUGUUUUUUUUUCUCUUGGAAAUAGGGGCAGACACUUGAGGAAGGAGAAGAAGGACAAAUGGAAGCUGAUACAGAAGUUGAGGAGCCCGUGCAAGUUGAAAGGCAGAAUGAAGAAGAGGAAAUAAGCCAUCAUAAUACUGUUUAGGAACAAAAGCAUAAGAAGAAUAAAGAGAAAAGAAAAGAUGAAGCGUAUGAGAAAGCUAAGGAGAAAUUUCAAGAUGAAGAUGGUUCCAAACUCGAUAAGUUAAUCCAAAUGCUUUAUGAUUUGAAUAAACGAGAAGAAGUAAUCGAGAAUGUCUUACGAUUGGUAAGCAAAUAACUUUACCAAGCACUUAUAAAUAUUUUCACAUGUUAUUUUCUUUACCUAUUAUGACAUGAUUUCUUGAAGGCA
Brassica napus (rape) is the source of this 2759-nucleotide long non-coding RNA. RefSeq lists it as uncharacterized. The transcript is spliced from 3 exons. NCBI's taxonomy places the organism in Eukaryota, Viridiplantae, Streptophyta, Magnoliopsida, Brassicales, Brassicaceae. The record is from RefSeq and is a predicted model, not a curated record.